RNAcentral lists this ribosomal RNA (257 nucleotides) under uncultured bacterium. RNAcentral's name for it is "partial 16S ribosomal RNA". It matches the Rfam family "Bacterial small subunit ribosomal RNA", at positions 28 to 285 of the family's 1533-position model. The record is from RNAcentral.
GACGAACGCUGGCGGCGUGCUUAACACAUGCAAGUCGAGCGGUAAGGCCCUUUCGGGGGUACACGAGCGGCGAACGGGUGAGUAACACGUGGGUGACCUGCCCUCAGCUCUGGGAUAAGCCCGGGAAACUAGGGUCUAAUACCGGAUAUGACUCCAUGACGCAUGCUGUGGGGUGGAAAGCCUUGGUGCGGCUGAGGAUGGGCCCGCGGCCUAUCAGCUUGUUGGUGGGUGAUGGCCUACCAAGGCGACGACGGGUA